RNAcentral lists this ribosomal RNA (657 nucleotides) under uncultured bacterium. Its description in RNAcentral is "bacterial SSU rRNA". It matches the Rfam family "Bacterial small subunit ribosomal RNA", at positions 754 to 1411 of the family's 1533-position model. The record is from RNAcentral.
GAAANGCGUGGGUAGCGAACAGGAUUAGAUACCCUGGUAGUCCACGCCGUAAACGAUGAGUGCUAGGUGUUAGGCCCUUUCCGGGGCUUAGUGCCGGAGCUAACGCAAUAAGCACUCCGCCUGGGGAGUACGACCGCAAGGUUGAAACUCAAAGGAAUUGACGGGGGCCCGCACAAGCGGUGGAGCAUGUGGUUUAAUUCGAAGCAACGCGAAGAACCUUACCAGGUCUUGACAUCCCGAUGCUAUUCUUAGAGAUAGGAAGUUACUUCGGUACGUCGGAGACAGGUGGUGCAUGGUUGUCGUCAGCUCGUGUCGUGAGAUGUUGGGUUAAGUCCCGCAACGAGCGCAACCCUUAUUGUUAGUUGCCAUCAUUAAGUUGGGCACUCUAGCGAGACUGCCGGUAAUAAACCGGAGGAAGGUGGGGAUGACGUCAAAUCAUCAUGCCCCUUAUGACCUGGGCUACACACGUGCUACAAUGGUCGGUACAACGAGUUGCGAGCCGGUGACGGCAAGCUAAUCUCUGAAAGCCGAUCUCAGUUCGGAUUGGAGGCUGCAACUCGCCUCCAUGAAGUCGGAAUCGCUAGUAAUCGCGGAUCAGCACGCCGCGGUGAAUACGUUCCCGGGCCUUGUACACACCGCCCGUCACACCACGAGAGU